AACGAACGCUGGCGGCAUGCCUAACACAUGCAAGUCGAACGAGACCUUCGGGUCUAGUGGCGCACGGGUGCGUAACGCGUGGGAACCUGCCCUUAGGUUCGGAAUAACUCCCCGAAAGGGGUGCUAAUACCGGAUAAUGUCUUCGGACCAAAGAUUUAUCGCCUUUGGAUGGGCCCGCGUUGGAUUAGCUAGUUGGUAGGGUAAAAGCCUACCAAGGCGACGAUCCAUAGCUGGUCUGAGAGGAUGAUCAGCCACACUGGGACUGAGACACGGCCCAGACUCCUACGGGAAGCAGCAGUGGGGAAUAUUGGACAAUGGGCGAAAGCCUGAUCCAGCAAUGCCGCGUGAGUGAUGAAGGCCGUAGGGUUGUAAAGCUCUUUUACCCGGGAUGAUAAUGACAGUACCGGGAGAAUAAGAUCCGGCUAACUCCGUG
Molecule: ribosomal RNA, 433 nt
Filed under: uncultured bacterium
Lineage: Bacteria
Description: partial 16S ribosomal RNA
Rfam family: Bacterial small subunit ribosomal RNA
Source: RNAcentral